AACUCGGGCGUCUGAGAAAGGAAUUCUCUUUUUGAGGCAGGCUUUAUCAGGUUUGCAUAGCAUCUACUCUUCAGACCUCAGAUUAGACUUCCCAGGAGCCCCUUAAGGACCCUUCACGGUCUCCCUUUGUGUCUUUUAAGUCCCACAAGUCUCAGAACUAAGUCCAGGACAGCUAUCAAUGAUGCAAGCUUCAUUGUGUUAUCUGAAUCUGUACAGAUGUGGGCCGUUGUGUGCACCCGUUAGUCAUCCUGUCAACUCUCCCUUGAGGUUACCUCUGAUAAGAGGUUAGAAUUUCGUCUCAGCCCAAUGAAUGACCUUCGCCCGGCCCUCUUUUUCGGGGUCCUCAAGUCUUCGCUUCUGUGGAAUGGGUUGGGGGCUUUUCUGACACAAGGAUAUGUACUGCCUUACCCUAGGCGGAACUCGGAAAUCCUGAUUCCCCUGAUAACCACCCGACCUAAGAGUUGAGCCUUGGGGUCCGGUGCAGGCCGAUCUGUAGCCACCUUGCGGCCCGAAACUGGUGUGGAGAGGGAGGAGCUAGGUAAAGAAGAGUCGGCGCGCGCUAUAGCUCUAGUGGAAGGCAAGGGAGGGAGGGAGGGAGGAGGAGAAUGGGGGCGGGGCCUACAGCGGAAGUGAGGUCACUUCCGGGCUGGGUGUUUGUUUGGGACUGGGGAAGGGAGGCGGCGGGUGAAGCGCACGUAGAGCGGGGGGAGCGGCGCUGCCUGUGGAGAUCCGCUGAGGCCGACAGGACUCGCUGGCUGCCGUCCCCGCUGCCGUGCACUGGGUUACAAAAACAACUAACAUACAACCAUGAAAGAUCCAAGUCGCAGCAGUACUAGCCCAAGCAUCAUCAAUGAAGAUGUGAUUAUUAAUGGUCAUUCUCAUGAAGAUGAUAAUCCAUUUGCUGAGUACAUGUGGAUGGAAAAUGAAGAGGAAUUCAACAGACAGAUUGAAGAGGAGUUGUGGGAAGAAGAAUUUAUUGAACGCUGUUUCCAGGAAAUGCUGGAAGAAGAAGAAGAACAUGAGUGGUUCAUUCCAGCUCGAGACCUCCCACAAACUAUGGACCAAAUCCAGGACCAGUUUAAUGACCUUGUCAUCAGUGACAGUUCUUCUCUGGAGGAUCUUGUGAAGUAGUUCUUUUGGCCAAAAUUGUUGUGGUGCUUUCUCCAAAGCUUGAGAUUCAGUGAUGGAUUAUAUUGGUUUGAACUGCUUCAGCCCCAACAUGGAAUAAAAAUUGAGGUCUCCUUGAUGCUAGUCUCAUAUUAAACAUUUAUUUAUUCCUGGUCUGAGUCACUUAAUCUCCCUGUCUCAUUUCCCUUUCUAGGAGGUCUAAAUGACUUUAAAGAUUUGCUUUAUUUAUAUUAUCUUUAAAGGGAGGGCCAUGAUGAUUAUUAGUUGGUUGAGAACAAGUUUAUGUAAAUUUAAGAAAUUAAAUUCUGGUUCUAAGUAUUUGUACACCCAUUCAGUCAUUUUAGCAUCAAUGAUAUUUUUAUAACCUAAAGUUUUUGAUUCAAAUACUCCAACUCAUUAUUUUUGGUUUUAGAUUUGAGUUUAAUAAUCUCUUAGCAAAAAUUAAUUGCACAAAUGUUUUUAAAUUGUCUUUCAUUUUUCAUUGUUGACAGCUAUUAAUAUACAGGAUUCGUAUUUGCAAUAAUAGAAACACCCAGAAUUCUAAUAAAAACUAAAUAACAUCAUUUAGUAUGGGGCCCAUCAAGUCUUUAUUUGAUUAAAUUCAGUUUCAGAUUAAGAUAACUAAUAAGGCUAAAAUCAAACUAGGAAACCUAGUGAGGACUGAAUGCCAGCUUUUCUAUCCUAUUUACAACCCCUAGCCACUCUGGAAUUCACUCCCAGUCUCUGAAACAUCAUAUGCAGCUGUUGCUUGGUCACUGAGCUUGAGUACUAUUCCGAAGGGCUACUAGAGAACAUUGAAAUUUACGGUGUCAAGAGUAAUCUGAAUCCAAAUGCAAAGGAGUUUGUUCCUGGGGUGAAGUACUAAAUAUUUGAGUAGACGGGGCCCUCUUUUGGUGGAUGUAGCACAAUUUCCACACUGUGAAGGCAGUAUUAGAAGACUUAAUUGUAAAAGCUCUCCCUUCUUGUCACUGUGUUACACUUAUGCAUUGCCAAAGUUUUGUUAGUCUUGCAUGCUUAAUAAAAGUGCUGAGACUGUUAUUAAGUAAAAAGCUGUCAAACGUUUACUGAAAGUAAUUGGACCUUGGCUUGAUGUGAAGGACAGUGAGGAAAGAAGCACCAGUCAAGUUGUGACAAAUCAGACAACCUCUGAAAGAGAUUUAGAAAUUUGACUAAAUGAUUUGUUUUAAUUGAGACUAAACUGGUCACUUGGUGUUAACCAACACCUGUUAAUGCCUUAACUUAAAAAAAAAAAAAGUCAAUUUUGAAAGUAAAGUUCUAAUUGUUAUACAAAUUACUUCGUUCAGACUUCAGUAUUGUUAAAGUAUUGUAUUUGUCCCCGUGGAGAGAAACUUAUACUUCAAGAAUAGACUUGGUAAUGAAAGAGCUCCACGCAAGCCAGCUGGUCUCGAAUGGCUUAUGAAGUUACAGAGUAACAAAUGGAUGGAAACUACCCCCUGAUUUUUACAUUAUGUUAUCAUGUUAGAAAUGUUGAAACCCACUCCUAAUUAUACAUCCAAGGAGGAGUGUAAUUUGAAAAUUACGUCAUCUUCCAAGUUCCCCAGUACUUCAUAGCUGUGUCUAUGUAAAUUUUAGCAUAUAACACUUAGUCAAAUUGAACCAAGGAAGUCUUAGCAUUCUGAUUUGAGUGGUGCUUUUCCCUUGCUUUGUUAAUCAUCACUACACAAUAGUCUACAGCACAACAACUUUUCUUUUAACAAAGCUAGAACAGUUUUGGCUUCUUAAACUUCAUAUUUGGGUAGGUUAAGCUGCCAUACGUGUUCAGUGUGAAUAGUGUUUAAGUUGAAAAUAUUGUAAAAAAAUUAUAUUUUUUCAAAAAUAUUUAAAAAAAUAAAUAAUAGUAGAACUGA
This is an RNA transcript of Antechinus flavipes (yellow-footed antechinus), 2996 nucleotides long. It is a transcript of the gene named poly(A) binding protein interacting protein 2, with no coding region annotated. The transcript has 5 exons. NCBI's taxonomy places the organism in Eukaryota, Metazoa, Chordata, Mammalia, Dasyuromorphia, Dasyuridae. The record is from RefSeq and is a predicted model, not a curated record.